Molecule: long non-coding RNA, 755 nt
Organism: Teleopsis dalmanni
Lineage: Eukaryota; Metazoa; Arthropoda; Insecta; Diptera; Diopsidae
Exons: 3
Source: RefSeq, a predicted model, not a curated record
AUUUUUGUUUGAGAAAUUAAAUAAAAAAGAUCAUAAAAUAUAUUUGUAUUUAUUAGCGCUGGAUUCUGUAAACAAAGUUGAAGCAAAAUAUGCGUCACCAAUUCGUACAAAAUAGUCGGGAAAUAAAUAACAGAAGUGAACACAUCCUUACAGUGCCAUUAAAAGAUUAGCAUUUUCUAAAUGAAUAUAAAAGGUUAUCGUCAAUACCUAAAUUGCUUGACAAAAAUAUUAUUAAAUGGAAAAAUGGUACACUCCAUACUUGGAGUUACGAAAUCCUUGGUACUAUCGCUGAAGGGAGGCUCUUAAGUUUAAGGAAAGUCAAAUGCACGGUGCAUAACCAAAUGAGUUUAGAUUCCAAACACGAACGGAUCAACAUCCCGGAAACUUUUGCAACACUCUCAAAAGGAAUUACACAGACAGAUUUCUGCGAGCUAGAACAAUCAGCUAACUUGAGUUAUCUGCAUUAAAUGAUAUGUGAGUGUCACCUCAGCUACUAAAGAUGUGUAAAUACCUACUGGAUGUCAUUUAUUAUAAAGUCGAUUUUAAUAUCUUUUGGUCUUAGCUACGACAAGAGUACUAUUCAAAUUUCACUGCGAGUGCAGCUUUCGACAUGAGGAAAACAUCUUACUAGUUUAUAAUCCACUAUUUUAGAAACUUGACUUUAUAAAUAUAAGUUGUUUUUGGAAUUGGCUCACUACUAUUAUGCAAAUAGUUUUUGCAGUUUCAUAUGAAGUUGGAUAUAAAAACAACAGCAA